This 2404-nucleotide long non-coding RNA is filed under the name Phascolarctos cinereus (koala). RNAcentral describes it as "lncRNA (ENSPCIG00000015212.2)". Lineage: Eukaryota; Metazoa; Chordata; Mammalia; Diprotodontia; Phascolarctidae. The record is from RNAcentral.
CGCCUCUCCUGGCGUCAGAGGAGAAAUAAUUCAGGGUCUGGGCGUCUUCCCUCCUUCACCUUUUCUAAGGGUAUAUGGCCUGGGCGUCCACCUUCUGUAAACAGAUCACAUCUGGGCCCUCUUUCUGAGUCUUCUGAUUGGCUGGGGUAAGCUGACUCUGGAGGCUAGCCCUGGCAUUUAAGGGGAGGCUGACUUGAGAGCAGGAAGCUUCCCGGCCCUGCCUCUGCCUCUGCUCUCAUCGCUUUGUGGAAGGGACGUAGGUGGCAAAAGGAGGAGCAGAAAUGUGGAAUCCCAAUCCAGGAAUGCCACCCCCAAAUGCCCAGGUCUGUCCACCUCCGGGGCCAGGUGUGCACCCUUCUCCUGGCCCCCCACCUCCUGGCCACCACCCUCAUGGCCCUCCCCCACCUGGCCCAGGAAUAAUGCCAGGAGGACCCGGCUGCCCGCCCCCACCACCUGGUGUCCAUCUUCCUCCUCCUCCUCCUCCAUGGGGUCUUCACAAGCACCAUCACAAACAUGGUCCUGGACACCACUGCCAUAAGCAUCAUCACUGCUGCUCUGAUUCUGACUGAGGUGUGACAGCCAGCCAGAGGGGCCAAUGGAGGGGCUGGCAAUGGGAGCAGCCGCCCCCUGCCCUGCAGCUCUUCCCGUGAUUGGGUCUGCUCCUGCUCUUCCUGCUCUCCCACAGUGAUUUAAUCUGUCUGUACUGAAAUUAAAACGCGGCCAUGUCUGUGGGCUUCUCUGGGAGCUCUGAUUAGAUUUCACUGGUGGCUUUUUUCUUCUGAUGUAACCUUGAAUCAGAGACCAUUGUGUGGGAUGAAGAGCCCAGGCACAUUCUGAGGGGCUGGGUCAUCCUCUCGGCCAGCUACACCCCCCCCCCAGAAGCCUAGGACCAUUCAAGGAUCAUCCCCCAGGAUGCUUUGACUCGCCCCUAGAGUGCAAGAUCCCAAUGGCAGGAGGUAGUUCUCUCACAAGAUGGGAAAGCAAGACCAAACUCGUAGAAGGAGAGAGUCUUAGCUAGUGCCUUGCAGCGGUCCUGAGUGUAGGGGCUGCCCUGAGGAGGCUGUUCCCCAUAAACCUGGGCUGGCUCAUUGCUCCUUAGGCUGUGUCCUGUAGACCAAGGCAGGACCACAGAACAAGGGGCAUCCUCUGUUCCACCCCUCUCCUCCUGACCUCAGAGGCAAUCCAGUCCACCUGCCUCUUCUCCUUCUUCUCAUUCUCUUCUGUCCUUUUCCCUUUCUCCUUCUCUCUUCCUUUAUGCUCCCUUCUUUUUUCUUCUUUACCCUUUCUUCUUCCUUUUCUUCCUUCCUCUUGGCUUCACCUUUUCGGUGUUGCCUCCCCUGUCCAUGAUAGGGGCAGAUUGUGCCCCUUCUUCCCUGAUUGCCCCUGCUUUUUCCCUGUGGGUCCAACUCUCGUGAUUUCUUCAGUCUCCCCCAGUUACCAGCCAGACCCAUCAUCAUGCCUAGUUCUUGAGACACACAAUCCUUAUUUUUCCCAGUCAUGCAAAUGAACAGAAAAGGGAGAUGGCAGGCAAAUAUCCCAGGACAGGCUGCUCUUAAAAUAAGGGGAGAAAACAAAUCAAUACAAACCAAAGGUCAACCAAUACUGUGAAUGGGAGGGGGGUUUCUAAUAUUUGGAGAACCUAAGUAAGCCAUGAACCUAGACUCUGGGGCUCUGUAUUCAAGUCACACAUGGUAACAGACUUUCCGGGAGAGCCGAUCCUCUCAAUUAACUGCUUGGCUUUCCGUUCUUGUCUAUGAAGUGGAGAUGAUGCUUCAGUCACUCUAGAAGAGCAAAGAAGACUGAGCAAAAACACUACAGUAAAAAGCGGUGUGGUGUAAUUGAUAGAGAGCUGACAUCAAAGUCAAGGAGACCUGGAUUCAAGUCCUGCCCCUGACAUAUAAGGGCUGUGUGACCUUGGAUAAGUCUCUUCCCCUCCCAGUGCCAAAGAAAAUUGCCACCCUACAACCCAACCAAACCUCAGUGCUCCAGUGAAUCCCCAUUGUUGAAUACAAGUAAACCUUCAUCACAGUCACUCUUCCCCCCUCUGGAAAACCACACUGCACUUAGAGGCUGUGACAGUGACAAAGGGCCCUUCCUAUUACUGACAUUCCAUUAUAUUUCAUGUUACAGGGAUUACAUAUUUCAUGGCAUUGAGGUCAUUUAUUCAGCAAACAGCACGUGACUGGUGUGCUCAGCUGAGUUCCAGUACCUCUCUACCUUCGUCAGAUGCAUUCAGAUAAGAAGAACUGGGUUUGAAUUCUGCCUCUGGCACCUGGAAAAGUCACUUCACCCAUGUCUGCCUCACUUUCCUGAUCUGUCAAAUGAGGAUGACAAAAGCCCUUACUUCAUAGCAUUGCUGUGAGGAGGAAAUGAGCUAAUAAAUAAGAAGUACUAUGUGAAUGCA